Molecule: ribosomal RNA, 499 nt
Filed under: uncultured bacterium
Lineage: Bacteria
Description: bacterial SSU rRNA
Rfam family: Bacterial small subunit ribosomal RNA
Source: RNAcentral
AGGAUGAACGCUAGCUACAGGCUUAACACAUGCAAGUCGAGGGGCAGCAUUGGAGUAGCAAUACUCAGAUGGCGACCGGCGCACGGGUGAGUAACACGUAUCCAACCUGCCGCUUACUCGGGGAUAGCCUUUCGAAAGAAAGAUUAAUACCCGAUGGUAUAAAGAGUUCGCAUGUUCUCUUUAUUAAAGAAUUUCGGUAAGCGAUGGGGAUGCGUUCCAUUAGAUUGUUGGCGGGGUAACGGCCCACCAAGUCUACGAUGGAUAGGGGUUCUGAGAGGAAGGUCCCCCACAUUGGAACUGAGACACGGUCCAAACUCCUACGGGAGGCAGCAGUGAGGAAUAUUGGUCAAUGGACGAGAGUCUGAACCAGCCAAGUAGCGUGAAGGAUGACUGCCCUAUGGGUUGUAAACUUCUUUUAUAAGGGAAUAAAGUGAGGGACGUGUCCCUUUUUGUAUGUACCUUAUGAAUAAGGAUCGGCUAACUCCGUGCCAGCAGCGGC